CUUUGUCACAUCCCUGACCAAGGUCCUUCUCUCCCGAUUUCUCAGUUUGGCUGGUCGGCCAGCUCUAGGAAGAGUCUUUGUGGUUCUAAACUUCUAUUUAAGAAUGAUGGAGGCCACCGUAUUCUUGGGGACCUUCAAUGCUGCAGAAAUGUUUUGGUACACUUCCCCAGAUCUGUGCCUCGACACAAUCCUGUCUCGGAGCUCUACGGACAAUUCCUUCGACCUCAUGGAUUGGUUUUUGCUCUGACAUGCACAGUCAUCUGUGGGACCUUAUAUAGACAGGUGUGUACUUUUCCAAAUCAUGUCCAAUCAAUUGAAUUUACCACAGGUAGACUCCAAUGAAGUUGAAGAAAGAUCUCAAGGAUGAUCAAUGGAAACAGGAUGCACCGGAGCUCAAUUUUGUGUCUAAUAGCAAAGGGUCUGAAUACGUAUGUAAAUAUGGUAUCCGUUUAUUUUUUAUUAAUUAGCAAACUUUUUUUUUUUUUUUUUACUUUUCGUUUCGUCAUUAUGGGGAAUUGUGUUUAGAUUGUGCUAUUGCCAUACCAAGCAGUGAUACAGUCAGUCAAGAUGCUCUCAAAUGAUACAGCUAAGGAUUUGAGGGCCCUUGACAAAUAGUUAACCUCCUGAGGGAGAAGAGACGCCGUUGCACCUUCUUCACGACUGUGCGGUUGUAUGGACCUUAAGGUUAGUGACUUGGACACAAGAACUUGAAGCGCUCCACCUGCUCAACUGCAGCCUCCCCCGUAGUACACAAUCAGCUCCUUGGUCUUACUGGCGUUGAGAGGUUGUUGUUCUAGCCCCACACUGCCAGGUCACUGAGACGACAGGGAGGUGGUCAUCGACGCCAGUGAUCAGGCCUACCACCAUUGUGUCGUCACAGUGGUGACGUCAUGGGUGAACAGGGAGUACUAAGCACACACCCCUGUGUUGAGGGUCAAUGUGGCGAAGGUGAUGUUGCCUAAAUUCACCACCUGGGGUCAGCCCGUCAGGAAGUCCAGGAUCCAGUUGCAGAGGGAGAUGUUCAGUCCCAGGGUCCUCAGCUUGGUGACAAGCUUGGAGGGGACAAUUGUGCUGAACACUGAGCUGUAGUCAAUGAAAAGCAUUCCCACAUAGGCAUUGCUCUUAUCUAGGUGGACGAGGGUAGUGUGGAGCGCAAUUGAGAUUGCAUCGUCUAUGGAUUUGUUGGGGCGGUAUGCAAAUUAGAGUUGGUCUAGGGUGAUGGAGUUGAUGUGCGCCAUAACCAGCCACUCAAAGCACUUCAUGAUUACAGAUGUUAGUGCUACGGGGCGGGAGUCAUUGUGGAAUGAAGCCUUAAGAGUUCAUAGAAACAGAAAUGAUGGUGGUCAUCUUCAAACAUGUUGGGAUUACAGACUGGGACAAGGAGAAGUUGAAAAUUACCAUGAAUAUACCUGCCAGCUGUUCCGCUCUGAGAACGCGCCCUGGAAUACCCAUUUAGCCCCCCG
Molecule: long non-coding RNA, 1463 nt
Organism: Oncorhynchus tshawytscha (Chinook salmon)
Lineage: Eukaryota; Metazoa; Chordata; Actinopteri; Salmoniformes; Salmonidae
Source: Ensembl